Molecule: non-coding RNA, 88 nt
Filed under: Arthrobacter sp.
Lineage: Bacteria; Bacillati; Actinomycetota; Actinomycetes; Micrococcales; Micrococcaceae
Also listed under: 1 other name
Description: ZTP sequence
Rfam family: ZMP/ZTP riboswitch aptamer (pfl RNA motif)
About the family: Previously known as pfl RNA. ZMP is also known as AICAR.
Source: RNAcentral
UUAAGGAGUUGCGACUGGCGAUGAGGUGGGACACCACCGGGGAGCAGCACGAGCGAAGACUUUGCGAUCGUACGCCUGGGACGCAAGG